CGGACCUCUAAUCGGAAANGACUACCCGCUGAGUUUAA
This 38-nucleotide ribosomal RNA is filed under the name Hypnum leptothallum. Its description in RNAcentral is "partial 25S ribosomal RNA". Lineage: Eukaryota; Viridiplantae; Streptophyta; Bryopsida; Hypnales; Hypnaceae. The record is from RNAcentral.